RNAcentral lists this transfer RNA (75 nucleotides) under Haematospirillum jordaniae. RNAcentral's name for it is "tRNA-Val". It matches the Rfam family "tRNA". From Rfam's summary of the family: Transfer RNA (tRNA) molecules are approximately 80 nucleotides in length. Their secondary structure includes four short double-helical elements and three loops (D, anti-codon, and T loops). The record is from RNAcentral. Lineage: Bacteria; Pseudomonadati; Pseudomonadota; Alphaproteobacteria; Rhodospirillales; Novispirillaceae. RNAcentral also lists the same sequence under 4 other names.
GGGCGAUUAGCUCAGCGGUAGAGCACACCCUUCACACGGGUGGGGUCGCAAGUUCGAUCCUUGCAUCGCCCACCA